This is a non-coding RNA of Onychostoma macrolepis, 702 nucleotides long. The record is from the annotation of a RefSeq genome assembly. NCBI's taxonomy places the organism in Eukaryota, Metazoa, Chordata, Actinopteri, Cypriniformes, Cyprinidae.
UAUUGGAUACGGGUCACUUUUAAAAGAAGGUGUAAGUGGGUCAUCAAGAAAAUCGAAUAUGCUAUAGUCAAAAAAUCUGAUUUGGGCAUCCAGACCUGCAGUGUAAAUGUGGCCUAAAUGUAAUCUUUAGUUUUAAACUAUGUGCAGAUGUGAGGGGGGUUUUGGCAUCAAAGAGGAGGAGUUUGGAAUAUAGAUCCGAGAUGAUCUUGUUACAUUUGCUCGACUGUCACAAAGCUCAGUCCUGCUGCAGUGACACACACAUGUACAAUGAUACUUCAUUCAGUCAUUCUGCUCUCUGCCUUGACAUGUGUGAGUUUUGGAGAUGAAAUCACAGCAGACAGCACUGAGGAAUCUGCUGCAGUGGGUUCAACUGUUACUUUAUCCUGCAGUUAUUCAUCUGCACAAUCACUUCAGUGGUACCGUCAGUAUCCCGGAUCAGCUCCUCAAUUUCUUGUGCUUAUAAUAGAGAGUGUGAAAGAGACUAAGAGAUCUGAUGUAGAUCCCAGGUUCUCUACUAAACUCAGAAAAGAAAACCAAGCAACAAAAGAGAUCAAACAUGUGGAUCUGAUGAUCUCCUCUGCUGCUGUAUCAGACUCUGCUCUGUACUACUGCGCUCUGAGGCCCACAGUGACAGGAAACACAUCAACACUGUACAAAAACCUGACACAGAUGAAGGUUUACAACCAAUUUCUUUCCAUAUAG